This is a long non-coding RNA of Oncorhynchus keta (chum salmon), 1317 nucleotides long. RefSeq lists it as uncharacterized. Lineage: Eukaryota; Metazoa; Chordata; Actinopteri; Salmoniformes; Salmonidae. The record is from RefSeq and is a predicted model, not a curated record. The transcript has 8 exons.
AAGGUUAGCAGUGUGGUUAACAUUAGGGAUAAGGUUAGCAGUGUGGUUAAAGUUAGGGAUAAGGUUAGCAGUGUGGUUAACAUUAGGGAUAAGGUUAGCAGUGUGGUUAACAUUAGGGAUAAGGUUAGCAGUGUGGUUAACAUUAGGGAUAAGGUUAGCAGUGUGGUUAAAGUUAGGGAUAAGGUUAGCAGUGUGGUUAAAGUUAGGGAUAAGGUUAGCAGUGUGGUUAUAGUUAGGGAUAAGGUUAGCAGUGUGGUUAAAGUUAGGGAUAAGGUUAGCAGUGUGGUUAAAGUUAGGGAUAAGGUUAGCAGUGUGGUUAUAGUUAGGGAUAAGGUUAGCAGUGUGGUUAAAGUUAGGGAUAAGGUUAGCAGUGUGGUUAAAGUUAGGGAUAAGGUUAGCAGUGUGGUUAUAGUUAGGGGUAAGGUUAGCAGUGUGGUUAUAGUUAGGGGUAAGGUUAGCAGUGUGGUUAUAGUUAGGGGUAAGGUUAGCAGUGUGGUUAUAGUUAGGGAUAAGGUUAGCAGUGUGGUUAUAGUUAGGGGUAAGGUUAGCAGUGUGGUUAUAGUUAGGGGUAAGGUUAGCAGUGUGGUUAUAGUUAGGGGUAAGGUUAGCAGUGUGGUUAUAGUUAGGGAGUAAGGUUAGCAGUGUGGUUAUAGUUAGGGAUAAGGUUAGCAGUGUGGUUAUAGUUAGGGAUAAGGUUAGCAGUGUGGUUAUAGUUAGGGAUAAGGUUAGCAGUGUGGUUAUAGUUAGGGAUAAGGUUAGCAGUGUGGUUAUAGUUAGGGAUAAGGUUAGCAGUGUGGUUAUAGUUAGGGGUAAGGUUAGCAGUGUGGUUAUAGUUAGGGAUAAGGUUAGCAGUGUGGUUAUAGUUAGGGAUAAGGUUAGCAGUGUGGUUAUAGUUAGGGAUAAGGUUAGCAGUGUGGUUAUAGUUAGGGAUAAGGUUAGCAGUGUGGUUAUAGUUAGGGGUAAGGUUAGCAGUGUGGUUAUAGUUAGGGGUAAGGUUAGCAGUGUGGUUAUAGUUAGGGAUAAGGUUAGCAGUGUGGUUAUAGUUAGGGAUAAGGUUGGGGUUAGGUUUAAAAUAGAAUUUGAAGAAGAAAUAGGCAGUGUUUACGACUUUGUGGCUGUGAUAACUAGUGGCGACAGUAUGUUAAGACAAGGUGGUUUUACUGACCUUGUGACUUAACCAGGAAAUAAACUUUGAGCCCCCAGUGUUUCGUCCGGCGCUAAGAGCGCUCGUCAAAACGUAUGAUUAAGCCCCGACCUUUUACCUACUCAGGAAAACUCCUGGGCCUAUAUAGAUUACGUUUGGUGAGGGAAGGAUAU